GCAAUGGGAAGGAACUAAGCCAUGCGAGUCAUUGUAGCAAUACAAGGCAGACGGCUCAGUAACGCGUAGUCAAUCUACCCUAUGGACGGGAAUAACCUCGGGAAACUGAGAAUAAUGCCCGAUAGAACAUUAUACCUGGAACGGUUUAUGUUUCAAAUGAUUUAUCGCCGUAGGAUGGGACUGCGGCCUAUCAGUUUGUUGGUGAGGUAAUGGCCCACCAAGACUAUUACAGGUACGGGCUCUGAGAGGAGUAGCCCGGAGAUGGGUACUGAGACACGGACCCAGGCCCUAUGGGGCGCAGCAGGCGAGAAAACUUUGCAAUGUGCGAAAGCACGACAAGGUUAAUCCGAGUGGUUUCUGCUAAAGAAACCUUUUGCUAGUCCUAGAAACACUAGUGAAUAAGGGGUGGGCAAGUUCUGGUGUCAGCCGCCGCGGUAAAACCAGCACCUCAAGUGGUCAGGAUGAUUAUUGGGCCUAAAGCAUCCGUAGCUCGUUUUGUAAGUUUUCGGUUAAAUCCAUACGCUCAACGUAUGGGCUGCCGGGAAUACUGCAUAACUAGGAAGUGGGAGAGGUAGACGGUACUCGGUAGGAAGGGGUAAAAUCCUUUGAUCUAUUGAUGACCACCUGUGGCGAAGGCGGUCUACCAGAACACGUUCGACGGUGAGGGAUGAAAGCUGGGGGAGCAAACCGGAUUAGAUCCCGGGUAGUCCCAGCUGUAAACUAUGCAAACUCAGUGAUGCAUUGGCUUGUGGCCAAUGCAGUGCUGCAGGGAAGCCGUUAAGUUUGCCGCCUGGGAAGUACGUACGCAAGUAUGAAACUUAAAGGAAUUGGCGGGGGAGCACCACAAAGGGUGAAGCCUGCGGUUCAAUUGGAGUCAACGCCGGG
RNAcentral lists this ribosomal RNA (885 nucleotides) under uncultured archaeon. Its description in RNAcentral is "bacterial SSU rRNA". It matches the Rfam family "Archaeal small subunit ribosomal RNA", at positions 29 to 922 of the family's 1478-position model. The record is from RNAcentral.